AUUGAACGCUGGCGGCAUGCCUUACACAUGCAAGUCGAACGGCAGCGGACCUUCGGGUGCCGGCGAGUGGCGAACGGGUGAGUAAUAUAUCGGAACGUACCUCUCAGUGGGGGAUAACGUAGCGAAAGUUACGCUAAUACCGCAUAUUCUGUGAGCAGGAAAGCAGGGGAUCGCAAGACCUUGCGCUGAUUGAGCGGCCGAUAUCAGAUUAGCUAGUUGGUGAGGUAAAGGCUCACCAAGGCGACGAUCUGUAGCGGGUCUGAGAGGAUGAUCCGCCACACUGGAACUGAGACACGGUCCAGACUCCUACGGGAGGCAGCAGUGGGGAAUUUUGGACAAUGGGCGCAAGCCUGAUCCAGCCAUGCCGCGUGAGUGAAGAAGGCCUCGGUUGUAAG
This 395-nucleotide ribosomal RNA is filed under the name uncultured bacterium. RNAcentral describes it as "bacterial SSU rRNA". It matches the Rfam family "Bacterial small subunit ribosomal RNA", at positions 30 to 429 of the family's 1533-position model. The record is from RNAcentral.